Molecule: ribosomal RNA, 313 nt
Filed under: Listeria marthii FSL S4-120
Lineage: Bacteria; Bacillati; Bacillota; Bacilli; Caryophanales; Listeriaceae
Description: SSU rRNA
Rfam family: Bacterial small subunit ribosomal RNA
Source: RNAcentral
UAGCUAGUUGGUAGGGUAAUGGCCUACCAAGGCAACGAUGCAUAGCCGACCUGAGAGGGUGAUCGGCCACACUGGGACUGAGACACGGCCCAGACUCCUACGGGAGGCAGCAGUAGGGAAUCUUCCGCAAUGGACGAAAGUCUGACGGAGCAACGCCGCGUGUAUGAAGAAGGUUUUCGGAUCGUAAAGUACUGUUGUUAGAGAAGAACAAGGAUAAGAGUAACUGCUUGUCCCUUGACGGUAUCUAACCAGAAAGCCACGGCUAACUACGUGCCAGCAGCCGCGGUAAUACGUAGGUGGCAAGCGUUGUCCG